This 30-nucleotide non-coding RNA is filed under the name Mus musculus (house mouse). Lineage: Eukaryota; Metazoa; Chordata; Mammalia; Rodentia; Muridae. The record is from RNAcentral.
UCUAAUGAGUGCAUUUGUCUUUCUAAAAUU